CUAGCAGGUUGUACAAAUGAUCAGUGUUUGUGAGACUAGCAGGUUGUACAGACGAUCAGAGUUUUUGAGACUAGCAGGUUGUACAGAUUAGCGUUUGAGACUAGUAGGUUGUACAGAUGAUCAGUGUUUGUGAGACCAGCGGGUUGUACAGAUGAUCAGUGUUUGUGAGACCAGCGGGUUGUACAGAUGGUCACUCACUAUGCGGCCGAGUCGUUGAGCUGGUACUCGCGCGAGCGCGCGAAGCAGGCCUGCACGCCCCCGUCCUUCCACAGCCGCUUGAUGACACCCGCCAACUC
Long non-coding RNA from Anguilla rostrata (American eel), 296 nucleotides. RefSeq lists it as uncharacterized. The record is from RefSeq and is a predicted model, not a curated record. The transcript is spliced from 2 exons. NCBI's taxonomy places the organism in Eukaryota, Metazoa, Chordata, Actinopteri, Anguilliformes, Anguillidae.